UGAGGAAUAUUGGACAAUGGGUGAGAGCCUGAUCCAGCCAUCCCGCGUGAAGGAUGACGGUCCUAUGGAUUGUAAACUUCUUUUGUACAGGGAUAAACCUACUCUCGUGAGGGUAGCUGAAGGUACUGUACGAAUAAGCACCGGCUAACUCCGUGCCAGCAGCCGCGGUAAUACGGAGGGUACAAGCGUUAUCCGGAUUUAUUGGGUUUAAAGGGUCCGUAGGCGGAUUUGUAAGUCAGUGGUGAAAUCUCAUAGCUUAACUAUGAAACUGCCAUUGAUACUGCAGGUCUUGAGUAAAUUUGAAGUGGCUGGAAUAAGUAGUGUAGCGGUGAAAUGCAUAGAUAUUACUUAGAACACCAAUUGCGAAGGCAGGUCACUAAGAUUUAACUGACGCUGAUGGACGAAAGCGUGGGGAGCGAACA
This 422-nucleotide ribosomal RNA is filed under the name uncultured bacterium. Its description in RNAcentral is "partial 16S ribosomal RNA". It matches the Rfam family "Bacterial small subunit ribosomal RNA", at positions 355 to 774 of the family's 1533-position model. The record is from RNAcentral.